CGCAUGAUGAGAAUCAGUGAAAAUAUCCACGCUCCUUACGUUAUUUGGAGCGUGUGGCUUCUCCCCGAGAUGUCCGCAGGGCCUAUCUAAUAGGCAAUUGGAAUCCAACAGAAGGUCCUUUUUUGUUACUCAGCCGGAUUAUCGAGGGAGCCAUUGACUUGUGUGCAUGCGGAGUACUUCCUCAACGUCUAGCGCGGUUUUCCAAUAAUCGAUCUAGGCUUGUUUCCUGGAGGGGUGAUGUUUCUGAUCUACGCUGGACGAAUGAACUUUGUUUUCAUUAGGAUUAUAUAGCUCAGAGAUAGAUUGAAUUACCCCUAUUCUGCUUAUCUAGUUAAACAUCCAAUUUCGCCCCCUGGAAAUUUCAAAGGCGCUCAAUAACUCAUCAAAAAAGAAACAAAAAAGAAUGUAAGAUAUUUGGAUAUAUUUAAAUUAGUAUCAUGCAGGCUUUUCAUAAACGGAAAUCUCACGUGUUCGUUUUUCGUCUUUCCAUGUAAAAUUUUCUAAUAUCUAGGCAGUCAAAAACUUGGUCUCCCCAUCUUUCAGCCUUCCAGCACCAACAAGCCCCUUAACAAUUUCACCAUAAGUCGACUUGACAGCCGCUGCGUUACCCCCUGCGGCCGCUAGUUUCGCAGCGAGCUCCGCAAGCUCCUCAUUGCUAAUCUUGCUAAUAAGCACAUCGAUAUCGUUCAGCACGCCAUCCACUUGCGCCGCAGUGGCAUCCCCACCCUCAGCAAAAUAGUUCACAUCCUUAACGCUGCCCUUA
Molecule: small RNA, 763 nt
Filed under: Histoplasma ohiense
Lineage: Eukaryota; Fungi; Ascomycota; Eurotiomycetes; Onygenales; Ajellomycetaceae
Description: hypothetical lncRNA
Source: RNAcentral